UACGUAGGGUGCUAGCGUUGUUCGGAAUCAUUGGGCGUAAAGCGCGUGUAGGUGGUUAGACAAGUUAGGUGUGAAAGCCCUCGGCUCAACCGAGGAAGUGCAUCUAAAACUAUCUAGCUAGAGGACGGUAGAGGAAGGUGGAAUUCCUAGUGUAGAGGUGAAAUUCGUAGAUAUUAGGAGGAAUACCGGUGGCGAAGGCGGCCUUCUGGGCCGUUCCUGACACUGAGACGCGAAAGCGUGGGGAGCAAACAGG
RNAcentral lists this ribosomal RNA (253 nucleotides) under uncultured bacterium. RNAcentral's name for it is "partial 16S ribosomal RNA". It matches the Rfam family "Bacterial small subunit ribosomal RNA", at positions 524 to 776 of the family's 1533-position model. The record is from RNAcentral.